GUCUGAUGGAGCAACGCCGCGUGAACGAUGAAGGCUUUCGGGUCGUAAAGUUCUGUUGUAAGGGAAGAACAAGUGCCGCAGGCAAUGGCGGCACCUUGACGGUACCUUGCGAGAAAGCCACGGCUAACUACGUGCCAGCAGCCGCGGUAAUACGUAGGUGGCAAGCGUUGUCCGGAAUUAUUGGGCGUAAAGCGCGCGCAGGCGGCCUCUUAAGUCUGAUGUGAAAGCCCCCGGCUCAACCGGGGAGGGCCAUUGGAAACUGGGAGGCUUGAGUAUAGGAGAGAAGAGUGGAAUUCCACGUGUAGCGGUGAAAUGCGUAGAGAUGUGGAGGAACACCAGUGGCGAAGGCGACUCUUUGGCCUAUAACUGACGCUGAGGCGCGAAAGCGUGGGGAGCAAACAGGAUUAGAUACCCUGGUAGUCCACGCCGUAAACGAUGAGUGCUAGGUGUUGGAGGGUUUCCGCCCUUCAGUGCUGAAGCUAACGCAUUAAGCACUCCGCCUGG
RNAcentral lists this ribosomal RNA (504 nucleotides) under Exiguobacterium sp. RNAcentral's name for it is "bacterial SSU rRNA". It matches the Rfam family "Bacterial small subunit ribosomal RNA", at positions 381 to 876 of the family's 1533-position model. Lineage: Bacteria; Bacillati; Bacillota; Bacilli; Caryophanales. The record is from RNAcentral.